UGGGGAAUAUUGGACAAUGGGCGCAAGCCUGAUCCAGCCAUGCCGCGUGAGUGAAGAAGGCCUUCGGGUUGUAAAGCUCUUUUGUCCGGGAAGAAAAGGACUGUGCUAAUACCCUGGUGUCCUGACGGUUCCGGCCGAAUAAGCCCCGCUUACUUU
RNAcentral lists this ribosomal RNA (156 nucleotides) under uncultured bacterium. RNAcentral's name for it is "partial 16S ribosomal RNA". It matches the Rfam family "Bacterial small subunit ribosomal RNA", at positions 355 to 503 of the family's 1533-position model. The record is from RNAcentral.